UUUCCGUAGGUGAACCUGCGGAAGGAUCAUUAACAAAAUAAAUAAUCCACCCUAAAGGGAAAAAAGGUUCCUAAAAAAAACCUUUAUCCCUUUAAGCAACCUGUGAACUUUGUUAAAGUUUAUACUAGUAUCCACCGAGGUGGUUACUAUUUUUAAACAACCUUUGUUUAACAUUUUGUCUUAUCAUUUUUGGAAUUACUCUCGGGUAAUUUUACGAAAAUCAAAAAACAAAUUGUAACAACUUUUAACAACGGAUAUCUUGGCUCUU
RNAcentral lists this unclassified non-coding RNA (268 nucleotides) under plant metagenome. RNAcentral's name for it is "partial contains small subunit ribosomal RNA, internal transcribed spacer 1, and 5.8S ribosomal RNA". The record is from RNAcentral.